UCGAGUUUUAGAACUCCCAAACCCCAUGUGAACCUAUACCUGUUUUUUUGCCGUUGCCUCGGCGGGCUCCAUGGGCCUGCCGGGGGGACAGAAACGUAACUCUUUGCAUCUAUAAGGCAUGUCUGAGUGGUUAUCAUAAGAAAUAGUCA
This 149-nucleotide unclassified non-coding RNA is filed under the name soil metagenome. RNAcentral's name for it is "partial internal transcribed spacer 1". The record is from RNAcentral.